This 28-nucleotide non-coding RNA is filed under the name Rattus norvegicus (Norway rat). Lineage: Eukaryota; Metazoa; Chordata; Mammalia; Rodentia; Muridae. The record is from RNAcentral.
UGAGGAGUAAUCAGAGACAAGAUGUAUC